AACGAACGCUGGCGGCAUGCCUAACACAUGCAAGUCGAACGAGACCUUCGGGUCUAGUGGCGCACGGGUGCGUAACGCGUGGGAACCUGCCCUUAGGUUCGGAAUAACUCCCCGAAAGGGGUGCUAAUACCGGAUAAUGUCUUCGGACCAAAGAUUUAUCGCCAUUGGAUGGGCCCGCGUUGGAUUAGCUAGUUGGUAGGGUAAAAGCCUACCAAGGCGACGAUCCAUAGCUGGUCUGAGAGGAUGAUCAGCCACACUGGGACUGAGACACGGCCCAGACUCCUACGGGAGGCAGCAGUGGGGAAUAUUGGACAAUGGGCGAAAGCCUGAUCCAGCAAUGCCGCGUGAGUGAUGAAGGCCUUAGGGUUGUAAAGCUCUUUUACACGGGAUGAUAAUGACAGUACCGGGAGAAUAAGCUCCGGCUAACUCCGUG
Molecule: ribosomal RNA, 433 nt
Filed under: uncultured bacterium
Lineage: Bacteria
Description: partial 16S ribosomal RNA
Rfam family: Bacterial small subunit ribosomal RNA
Source: RNAcentral